This is an RNA transcript of Zea mays, 1155 nucleotides long. RefSeq lists it as uncharacterized. The transcript is spliced from 9 exons. Lineage: Eukaryota; Viridiplantae; Streptophyta; Magnoliopsida; Poales; Poaceae. The record is from RefSeq and is marked validated.
UAUUUGCUAGGUCUCGCCUCUGCCAGUAGUCUGCCGUGGCCUCGCCCACAAACUAAUCCUACGGCCCACGGAACCAGUCAGUCCUCUCUCCUUCCGGCUUCCGCUGCUCUUCUUUCUUUCCUGGCAUCUUGGAGACGGCGGCGAGACGAGGAGAGGACUGGAACUGGACCAUGGCUGCCUCUUCGGCUCUCAGGCUAAUCCUGGGCUCCUCGUCGGCGUCGCGUCGCCAGAUUCUGUCCGAGAUGGGAUACAAGUUCACGCUUAUUAGUGCGGAUAUCGAUGAGAAAGCGAUCAGAAAGGAGAACCCAGAGGAACUGGUGGUCGCCUUGGCUCAUGCGAAAGCAGACGCUAUUCUGGAGAAGAUGCAGAACAAUGGGAUGAUGAAAGAGAUUCUUGAUUCUCAAGAUACUACUCUGAUGAUAACUGCUGAUCAGGUUGUGUUGCAUGAUGGAGUGAUUAGAGAAAAACCUAGCACACCAGAAGAGGCACGGAAAUUCAUCAAAGGGUACUCUGAAAGCCAUGCUGCGACGAUUGGAUCUGUGCUUGUUACAAAUGUGAAGACUGGGGCUAGAAGGGAAGGAUGGGAUAAAGCAGAAGUAAUAUCUAAGUUUCCCUGGUGUUUUAUUUUAGGAAUGAGUACCAUUAUGCUUAGGUUUAUUUCCACAAAAUUCCUGACAAAGUUGUGGAGAGUUUGAUUGAGGAGGGCGAUGUGUUCUAUGUCGCUGGUGGUCUCCUUGUGGAGCACCCCUUAACUUCACCUCUCGUGGAAGCCAUUGUUGGUACAAUUGAUAGUGUAAUGGGGCUCCCUAAGGCGCUCACGGAGAAGCUCAUCAAGGAAUCCCUUUCAGAGACAUAGCUACAAUCAUAUGGACUGAACUGACCUGUGAUACAGAAAUCAUAUUGGUGGCGGACUGGCGGUGGCUAAAUCAGUUUGGCAGCAAUGUAGUGUGAGAAUCAUGUAAUCAUUCCUAUUUUCCAACAAAAAAGGCCGUCAUGUGAUCAGCCCACUAUGAAUGGAAUUCAUCCUUGGCUUCCAUGACCAUAGGUCUGCUGAAUCAUUCGUUUUGUUUUCUGAUGUGUUCGGCCGCAAGGAUUUUUAACGCCUGGCAGAUUGCUUGAUUUGAUCAAUGAAUUCGUGCUAGGUGCUCUGUGGUA